GCCAGACUCCUACGGGAGGCAGCAGUGGGGAAUAUUGCACAAUGGGGGAAACCCUGAUGCAGCGACGCCGCGUGAGUGAAGAAGUAUUUCGGUAUGUAAAGCUCUAUCAGCAGGGAAGAAAAUGACGGUACCUGAUUAAGAAGCCCCGGCUAACUACGUGCCAGCAGCCGCGGUAAUACGUAGGGGGCAAGCGUUAUCCGGAUUUACUGGGUGUAAAGGGAGCGUAGACGGCAGCGCAAGUCUGAAGUGAAAGCCCGGGGCUCAACUCCGGGACUGCUUUUGAAACUGUGUGACUGGAGUGCAGGAGAGGUAAGCGGAAUUCCUGGUGUAGCGGUGAAAUGCGUAGAUAUCAGGAGGAACACCAGUGGCGAAGGCGGCUUACUGGACUGUAACUGACGUUGAGGCUCGAAAGCGUGGGGAGCAAACAGGAUUAGAUACCCGAGUACU
This 447-nucleotide ribosomal RNA is filed under the name uncultured bacterium. RNAcentral's name for it is "bacterial SSU rRNA". It matches the Rfam family "Bacterial small subunit ribosomal RNA", at positions 330 to 794 of the family's 1533-position model. The record is from RNAcentral.